Molecule: small RNA, 694 nt
Filed under: Vigna angularis var. angularis
Lineage: Eukaryota; Viridiplantae; Streptophyta; Magnoliopsida; Fabales; Fabaceae
Description: Non-protein coding transcript
Source: RNAcentral
CCACAUUUGUAUUCUAACCAACAAAACCAAAAAAAAAAAUCACCACAGAACAGAACACGGGAAGAGAAAGAGCGUGUCUUGGUCGGAAACAAUGGCGAGGGAGCUUCUGCCUCGUGACCUAUGCAUCUAUGUCUGCAUCUGCAUUCUACUCCUUGCCCACCAAAGUUCCUGUUUUUACCUCCCUGGUGUUGCACCUGAGGAUUUCUGGAAGGGAGAUCCAUUGAGGGUGAAAGUGAACAAACUGUCUUCCACAAAAACACAGCUUCCUUAUUCAUACUAUUCACUGCCUUAUUGUCGUCCGAAACGCAUUGUUGACAGUGCAGAAAAUCUAGGAGAAGUUCUUCGGGGUGACCGCAUUGAAAAUUCACCCUAUGUGUUCAAAAUGAGAGAACCGCAGCUGUGCAAUAUUGCUUGUCGUAUAAUUCUCGAUGACAAAACGGCAAAAGAGUUCAGGGAAAUGAUAGAUGAUGAGUAUCGGGUGAACAUGAUUCUAGACAAUCUUCCUUUGGUUGUUCCUAUAAGAAGGCUUGAUCAGGAAUCUCCCAUGGUGUAUCUCCAUGGCUUCCUCGUCGGUCUUAAGGGACAGUAUUCUGGAAUCAAAGAGGAGAAGUAUUUCAUCCACAACCACUUAGCAUUUGUGGUUAAGUAUCACACUGAUCAACAGCUAGGAUUAUCAAGGAUUGUAGGAUUUGAG